This 686-nucleotide non-coding RNA is filed under the name Litomosoides sigmodontis. Lineage: Eukaryota; Metazoa; Nematoda; Chromadorea; Rhabditida; Onchocercidae. The record is from RNAcentral.
UUUAUUUAGAAUAUUAAGUUUGAUUUUGGUUUUGGUUGUAUUAAGAUAGUAUUACUUAUUUUUAGUUUAUUUAGUGUUUAAUUUUUUAUAUACUGGUAGUUUAUUUAUUGUUUUAUUGGUGUUCCAGAAUAAUCGGCUAUACAUUUUAAUAUUUAACUCUAUUUGUUGUUGUAUCCUUUUUUGUUUUUUUUUUUUAUCUUAUAUUUGUAAAAUGUCUUAGGUUUUGAUGUAUUUAGAGGAUAUAUAAAAUUUGGUUUUUGAACUGGAUUAGUACCCAGGUAAUCAAAGUUUAUUAAUUCGGGAGUAAAGUUUAGUUUAAACCGAAAAAAUAUUGACUGACUUUGGAUUUUUCUUUGGAAUAUGUGAUUUUUGGAUAGUCCUCCUUGUUAGUUAAUCUUGUUGGCGCAUGUAUGAUUGUUUAGUUUUUAUUUUAUUUGUAAUGUUAUUAUGAUUUUUAUUUUAAAACAGAUAUAUACUUGGCUUAUGGAUUAAUAUUUCAUGUGUUACUAUUAUUAAUUUUUUUUUGGAUUUUUUGUUAAUGUUUUUUUGAAAUUGGAAAAGAAAGUAAUUGAAUUUUUUAUGUUUGGAUGAAUUUAAUAAACAAAGUGGUACAAACCAUCCGUCAAUGGCCUAAAGGGGCGUAAGUUGUAGUAUGGUAGUGGUAAGGAAACUUGUCUCUAUUUUUA